GAUGAAGAACGUAGCAAAAUGCGAUAAGUAAUGUGAAUUGCAGAAUUCAGUGAAUCAUCGAAUCUUUGAACGCACAUUGCGCCCCUCGGUAUUCCGAGGGGCAUGCCUGUUCGAGCGUCAUUAUAACCCUUCAAGCUCAGCUUGGUGUUGGGGCCUGCUGUAACUGGUAGCCCUUAAAAUCAGUGGCAGUGCUAUUAGGCUCUAAGCGUAGUAAUUCUUCUCGCUAUAGUGUGUAGUGAGCGCUUGCCAGAACCCCAAACUUUUAUAUGAUUGACCUCGGAUCAGGUAGGGAUACCCGCUGAACUUAAGCAUAUCAAUAAGCGGAGGA
This 328-nucleotide unclassified non-coding RNA is filed under the name soil metagenome. Its description in RNAcentral is "partial contains 5.8S ribosomal RNA, internal transcribed spacer 2, and large subunit ribosomal RNA". The stretch from base 1 to 120 matches the Rfam family "5.8S ribosomal RNA", at positions 35 to 154 of the family's 154-position model. The record is from RNAcentral.